GAUGAACGCUGGCGGCGUGCCUAAUACAUGCAAGUCGAGCGAACAGAUGAGGAGCUUGCUCCUCUGACGUUAGCGGCGGACGGGUGAGUAACACGUGGAUAACCUACCUAUAAGACUGGGAUAACUUCGGGAAACCGGAGCUAAUACCGGAUAAUAUAUUGAACCGCAUGGUUCAAUAGUGAAAGACGGUUUUGCUGCCACUUAUAGAUGGAUCCGCGCCGCAUUAGCUAGUUGGUAAGGUAACGGCUUACCAAGGCAACGAUGCGUAGCCGACCUGAGAGGGUGAUCGGCCACACUGGAACGGAGACACGGUCCAGACUCCUACGGGAGGCAGCAGUAGGGAAUCUUCCGCAAUGGGCGAAAGCCUGACGGAGCAACGCCGCGUGAGUGAUGAAGGUCUUCGGAUCGUAAAACUCUGUUAUUAGGGAAGAACAAAUGUGUAAGUAACUAUGCACGUCUUGACGGUACCUAAUCAGAAAGCCACGGCUAACUACGUG
Molecule: ribosomal RNA, 497 nt
Filed under: uncultured bacterium
Lineage: Bacteria
Description: partial 16S ribosomal RNA
Rfam family: Bacterial small subunit ribosomal RNA
Source: RNAcentral